ACGAAGGGGGCUAGCGUUGCUCGGAAUUACUGGGCGUAAAGCGCACGUAGGCGGCUUCUUAAGUCGGUGGUGAAAUCCUGGAGCUCAACUCCAGAACUGCCUUCGAUACUGAGAAGCUCGAGUUCGGGAGAGGUGAGUGGAACUGCGAGUGUAGAGGUGAAAUUCGUAGAUAUUCGCAAGAACACCAGUGGCGAAGGCGGCUCACUGGCCCGAUACUGACGCUGAGGUGCGAAAGCGUGGGGAGCAAACAGG
Molecule: ribosomal RNA, 252 nt
Filed under: uncultured bacterium
Lineage: Bacteria
Description: partial 16S ribosomal RNA
Rfam family: Bacterial small subunit ribosomal RNA
Source: RNAcentral